AAAAUUCUCCAUUUUUCAGUGGAAAGCUGUGUCAUUUAAAUGCUCUCUUCUGUGCACCACUCAUUCACAGUUCUGCUGCUCAAAACUCAGCAGUGAAUCUUCUGUGGUGCUCAAGGCAGAUGGCCAUCCUUCCUGUCUGAAUGGUGACGGGCUUUCUCCAGGCUGGUGAGAAUGUUGCUCCACAGGACCAUCCAGUCAAGGAGGACACGCGAAGGAACCUUCCACCGUUCUCUUCUAAGACAAAGCUUAGCAAUUUAAGCAAAGAAAAAGCUCAUCACUGAUGCCUGCUGUUAUCAACAGCUCUGAAACCAAACUGGUGUGAGAUCAGAGACUCAAAAAUACUGCCAGGAAAUACAACCAGAGUUUGUCGCUACUGCAAGGACUCUAACAAGGGAAGGGGCAAAUCCCUUUCACAGCUCGAAGAGGAGACCUGGAUACAAACAUCUUGAGCCCUGAGAUCCUCAGCAUCUUUACCCUCUAUGCUGAACAUGACUGGCAUCUGGCCCUGCUUGAGAAGCUCUCCCUAGAAGAUGACGCUCCCAAUCAGUGCAUGGACAGGUCCCUGAGCAGAGACUCACAGUAUGCAUCUGCUGGCACAGUUCAGAGGACAGCAAAGAUGACUUAAAAUUGCCAAAAGCAACAGAAGGCAUUCCUGCUGUCUGCUCCUAAACUCUGCAAAUCUAAUGCAAAUCUUUAGCUCCGAUAAGUGGAACUUGCCAAGGCAGGGAAUGGAGCAAAAAUCUUAGAAUGAAAUAAAUUUAAUAGCUCAUCCCUCAUCCUGAGAACAGGCCUGGGAAGGGCAAUCCCUCUGCAAUCAGGGAAUUGUAUUUCAGUGUCUGUAAUAUCUGUCAAAUUCCGAGGUGAGA
This is a long non-coding RNA of Zonotrichia leucophrys gambelii, 866 nucleotides long. RefSeq lists it as uncharacterized. Lineage: Eukaryota; Metazoa; Chordata; Aves; Passeriformes; Passerellidae. The record is from RefSeq and is a predicted model, not a curated record. The transcript is spliced from 5 exons.